This is a long non-coding RNA of Pseudopipra pipra, 1354 nucleotides long. RefSeq lists it as uncharacterized. Lineage: Eukaryota; Metazoa; Chordata; Aves; Passeriformes; Pipridae. The transcript has 2 exons. The record is from RefSeq and is a predicted model, not a curated record.
CGUGCACAAGGGGAGAAGGGCUGUUGCCUCCAUCGCACUGUCAUUAAAGGUUAUCAAAAAGAACUCUUGGCUCUGUGAAGAAAUAAUGAGUGCAAGUUGGUUUUGCAGACCCUGUUACAAGGGAAGAAUAAACCAGGAUUAAAAAACCUCAUGGAGAGUAUUUUUCCCAACAGGCCUAAUGUUUAAUGCUUUUUUUGCUCUGAAGAAUUAGAAGGGUCAUGAUGACUGGAGCUUGAAAUAAAGGUGAAUUGAUAACACAGGUGGGGAGAUGGACUAAAGGGUUUAUAAUUAAUUGAGCCUUUAUAAACACAGAGAGGCUGCACUAGAGACUCCCUGUCUUACUCUUUCCUAAAUAUUAAACACUCCUAAAUAUAUUCCCUGACUCUAAAUACCGUUUUCCUUUUUAACUGCUGAGGAUACACUUUACCCUGCUGCAGAGCUUCUCAGGACUUACAGAAAUAAAGGACCUAAAAGAACAUUUCUCACAGCUCAGAAGGUCUAAUUCUGGCUGAGAAGGAAUUAAUGUUGUAAUAAUUUUGCUAAACGGCCCCCUCCCCAUCAUUCAAGAGUGGAAAUGCUGUAAAGCACAGCUCUAGGCACCUCUAUUGUAGCCUAAAGGGGAUCCUUCCAUGGUAACCUCCGUAGGUAACUGCAACAUUGGAGUAGGACAGGGCUGUGCACCUGCUUUAGGAGAGUCUCUAUUAAUUUUGACAGAUAUAAAAUAAAACAGGGCUCAAAAAAAAAGGAAGAUUACCAAUAUGAUCCAGAGCAAAGAGGAGGACGGAGUGGUGUUGAGAAAAAAGGGAGAAGGAAGUCUAUGAGACCACAGACUACAGAGAUUAAAAGGAACUGAAAAACUGGAACAAGCUCAAAAGCUAUAGAAUGAGGGUUAUCAGUUUUCUAUUUUCUGCUUGGAGUAAGCUGAAAUUAAAUGUAUUUGUACAGAUAUGUUGAAGUGCUCUUAGCAAAGACUUCCGAAUUUUCUGUAGGUGGCUGAUGUGAAUUUGUCCUCCAAGAAGUGCAAACAGCCAACACAUCUAAUACUUAGCCUUGUGGCUAUAGUUACACUGCAGUCCAUUUUAGGCAGUACAGUUUCCCCUGAAAGCUUCUGGACACAAGAGAGGACCCUCGUCCAUCUGCAGAGGAGUUUUACAUCCUGCAUCUGACUUUCUCUUGCAUUUAUUGACUUCUUUUGUCUGGCACCUCUGCCCAGACAGUUCUGACACUCUCUGUGAUGGCAGCGUGGGAGUGAGCAGGGCAAGAGCAGAGCCUGUCACACAGAUAAAACUUCUAUCAGGAGAGACAAGAAACUACUUCAGCAAUUUUUAUUUCCAAUAGAUUUGAUGGGGCCACA